Molecule: ribosomal RNA, 82 nt
Filed under: uncultured bacterium
Lineage: Bacteria
Description: partial 16S ribosomal RNA
Source: RNAcentral
UUUCAGUUGGGAAGAGAAGCGUCAUGUGAAUAGCGUGACGUGGAGACGUUACUAGCAAAAGAAGCACCGGCUAACUCUGUGC